Molecule: ribosomal RNA, 925 nt
Filed under: uncultured crenarchaeote
Lineage: Archaea; Thermoproteati; Thermoproteota
Description: bacterial SSU rRNA
Rfam family: Archaeal small subunit ribosomal RNA
Source: RNAcentral
UUACAUCUUGUAGAUGACUUUCGCUAAGAAAGUCUUUUGGCACCUCUAAAAAGGGUGCAGAAUAAGGGGUGGGCAAGUCUGGUGUCAGCCGCCGCGGUAAUACCAGCACCCCGAGUGGUCGGGACGAUUAUUGGGCCUAAAGCAUCCGUAGCCGGUUCUGCAAGUCCCCCGUUAAAUCCAGCUGCUCAACAGAUGGGCCGCGGAGGAUACUACAGAGCUAGGAGGCAGGAGAGGCAAGCGGUACUCAGUGGGUAGGGGUAAAAUCCGUUGAUCCAUUGAAGACCACCAGUGGCGAAGGCGGCUUGCCAGAAUGCGCUCGACGGUGAGGGAUGAAAGCUGGGGGAGCAAACCGGAUUAGAUACCCGGGUAGUCCCAGCCGUAAACGAUGCAGACUCGGUGAUGGGUUGGCUUCGCGCUAACCCAGUGCCGCAGGGAAGCCGUUAAGUCUGCCGCCUGGGUAGUACGGUCGCAAGACUGAAACUUAAAGGAAUUGGCGGGGGAGCACCACAAGGGGUGAAGCCUGCGGUUCAAUUGGAGUCAACGCCGGGAAUCUUACCGGGGGCGACAGCAGAAUGAAGGUCAAGCUGAAGACUUUACCAGACAAGCUGAGAGGAGGUGCAUGGCCGUCGCCAGCUCGUGCCGUGAGGUGUCCUGUUAAGUCAGGUAACGAGCGAGACCCCUGCUUCUAGUUGCUACUCCUGUUCUCCGGAAUAGGAGGGCUAAUUAGAAGGACUGCCGCCGCUAAGGCGGAGGAAGGAGGGGGCUACGGCAGGUCAGUAUGCCCCGAAACCCUCGGGCCACACGCGGGCUGCAAUGGUAAGUACAAUGGGUACCAAUUCCGAAAGGAGGUGGCAAUCUCGCAAAACUUACCUCAGUUAUGAUUGAGGGCUGAAACUCGCCCUCAUGAAUAUGGAAUCCCUGUACC